RNAcentral lists this ribosomal RNA (486 nucleotides) under uncultured eukaryote. Its description in RNAcentral is "bacterial SSU rRNA". It matches the Rfam family "Eukaryotic small subunit ribosomal RNA", at positions 87 to 556 of the family's 1831-position model. The record is from RNAcentral.
CUGCGGACGGCUCAUUAAAUCAGUUACAAUCUACUUGAUCGCGAACUUUACGGUUUAUUCGGGUAACCCUAGUAAUUCUAGAGCUAAUACGUGCAACUGACUCUGACCUCUUUUUAAGGGGAAGGAGUGUAUUUAUUAGAUAACUUAAAACCAAUCGGCCCAAAAGGUCGUUUGAUUGAUGAUUCAUAAUAACUGUGCAAAUCGCGGGUCAAUACUUGCGAUGAUACAAACGAGUUUCUGACCUAUCAACUUUAGAUGGCAGGAUAGGGGCUUGCCAUGGUGACAACGGGUGACGGGGAAUUAGGGUUCGAUUCCGGAGAGGGAGCCUGAGAAACGGCUACCACUUCCAAGGAAGGCAGCAGGCGCGCAAAUUACCCAAUACUAAUUCGGUGAGGUAGUGACAAGAAAUAUCAAUAUAGGACCCAACGGGUACUAUGUUUGGAAUGAGUACAAUUUAAAAACCUUAACAAGGAACAAUUAGAGGGC